GAUUGUUGUAGCGUUAUUUGUCUCUGUCAAAGACUGGUUAAGAUAGCGGCAGUUUUGUGUAUCAACUGCCGCAAAUAACAUGUUGCUCAAUUUGAUUUAAUAAUCGAAAUUUGGUGAUGCCAGGGCAAUUAAUCCUCGUUUUUGCGCGAACCUAAAAGGGGGCAAAGGCGCCAAUCACCAGUUUCAAGACUCCUUGCUGCCGUAUACCUUCCCUCCAUCAGCUGCAGCCGCUACAUCCUUCCUCAUCACGGAUCUACUUAAGCUGCCGCAUAGCUCCCGCACGCGAAAGGAAGGUGGAGAGGCACGUCCGUUGUUCGUCCCUCUACUGUGCACGUCCCGGUGUCGUCGCGUGGCUUCCCAAUCGUCCUGGUGUCAUCGUCCUCAACCUUCCCCCCAUGCCAUGUUGUGUGCCGCGUGAACGCACCUUCUCCCCGCUUACUGGUUCACUUUUUCUCCCUUUUUCUGUUGUUCCAAUUUCAUAUUUUGUCUUUGUACUUUUGUUUCACUUUAAUCAUUUUGCUUGUUGAUCGAAUAUCUUUGCACCGAUUUAGUUUAAUUUUGCUUGUUUCCAAUUUGUUUGCUAUUUUGGUUCGAACCCUUGUGAUCAUCUGAUGGAAACUCAAUGGCCUUUCCUUCAUGUUUUUUAGCUCAAUUCCUAUGUGAUUGUCAUUCCUAUUGUUGAAAGAAGUUUCAGGUCUGCACUCCACCCUGGCUCUGAUUUCCACAUCAUGAUUUGUGCAGAGAGUGGCUCCAUACAAGUGAAAGCUUCGAGUUUUAAUUUAAUUGCUUAUGUUCAUUUGUCUGGGAAUCCAUACAACUUAUUUAGAGAGGCUUAUAGUGCUCUGAGAGUUAAUCUCAACACCUUUAAGCUCUUGGAAGAGAAGAAUAUCCCUAGCAUUAUUGACAAGUUUGGUUGGUGCACUUGGGAUGCAUUCUACUUAUUCGUGGAGCCUGUUGGAGUUUUUCAUGGCUUGAAGGAUUUCGCUGAGAUUGGUGGUGUGUCUCCAAGGUUUGUGAUCAUUGAUGAUGGAUGGAAAAGCAUCAAUUAUGAUGAUGGUGAUGACCCAUAUGAAGAUGCCAAAAUCUUAUAUUGGGUGGACCACAAAUGACAGCAAGGCUUCACAGAUUUGAAGAAUGUGACAAGUUCAAGAGUUACAAAGGAGGACUUAUCUUAGGUCCUAAUGCUCCUCCUUUUGAUCCAAACAAGGCCAAGGCAUUGAUAUCAAAGGGGAUUGAACUUGAAUGUUUGGUGAAGGAUCGAGACAAAGCAGUUGAAUCCAGAAGCUCUGAUUUGGCAGAGAUUGAAGCAAGGAUUGGAGAAAAGGCAGAGGAGUGUGGAUUGAAGGCUUUUACAAGGGAUUUGAGGACACAGUUUAAAGGGUUGGAUGAUAUAUAUGUAUGCCAAUGACUUUUAUGAAUAUAUGCACUCUUAUCUUGCAAAAUCUGGUGAUUUUUAAGGGAUGAUUUUUGGUUCCGAGAUCCAUAUGGUGACCCCAUGGGAGUGUUUUGGCUACAAGGGAUACACAUGAUUCAUUGCUCAUACACCGGCUUGUGUUCUCUGAUGGCACUGUCCCUAGAUGCAGCAAAAAAAAAUCCCAUAAGUUUGAAAAGCACACUCAUCAUUCUUAGGAGGUGUAUCAUAUACUAAAACACAUAUAAAUUACGAUUUUUGAUGAAAACGAGAGGUAAAUAUAUUUUUUUCGUGUUUUCCUGACCCUGAUUAAACCAUGUUUAGCUCCAGAGUCCAUGCAAACACUUCCCACUUCCAACAAGAGAUUGUCUCUUCAAUAACCCUCUAUUUGACCACAAAACUCUCCUCAAAAUUUGGAAUUUAAAUAAGAACUCACCGCCACUACCAUAAUCCUUAUUACUCUCACCACUAAACCAUUCAUAGUUCAACCCCUCUAUCCGUUGCUGUUGGCCCUAGUCUUCUUCUCCACGUUGUACUCAGAGCGGUGGCGUUGUAGUACCCGUCGUCGUCCUUAAGCCGGUAUCCGUUGUCGUCGUCGUUGGCCGCAAGAAGACGUCUCUGUCCCCGCGGCGAGCCCUUGUCUUCGAGCCCUUCUCUCUCUAUCUGAGGCCCCGUCCUUCCUCUCUCACCGUCAAUACCAUUUCUUCCGCUGCCGGUAGCCCGUAUAUUAAGAUGCCCAUGAUAAGUUGUUGCACUACAAGAAAAAAGGCCUGUCGGCACACUUUUUUUCUUUUCACGCUUUUAAAGCGUGCCCAAAAGUGGUCUAUGGCCACGCUUUUGCGAGGAUGGCCACUGAUUUGUAAUUUAGCCAUACUUUUUUGCCACACUUGAAAAGCGUGGCCAUAGAAAAAAAUCAACACGCUUUUACGAGGGUGCCCACUUACUUGAAAUUUGGCGAUAGAGGGAAAUCGGCACGCUUUUAUGAAAAUAUCCAAGUUGGACACAGCAUGUCAGCAACCUCAAGUAAGAUCUACUACGGCUUCAUCCUCCAAUCAAGGGGACUUCCCAAUUCCCCCGUCCAGUGGUGGUGGUGCCCUCGCAGCCUCAUCUUUACGCCUCUUUCAUCCGCCUCAUAGCGAACCAUUGCUUGCUCCACAGACUUGUAUGAAUGGUGUUCAAAACUCAUAGCUGGGCGAUGAAAACUUAGACCCAGAGGCAGGUGAGAAUCCAAUGGAACAAUCAAACAACUUCGUUUGAAUGUGAAGGAAGCUAUGAACCACCUAACGGUAGAAAGAUCGUACUCAGGUUCAACUGAAACCUGCAACAAGUUAGAGAUGAAGUUAGUAUACUGAGCGACGUUUUCGGAUUGCUAAGAUCUGACUACACCAAAUUUUCAAUCUGCGAUGUCUAAUUCAAAGGCACGGCGGGGAGCUUCCACCAAACGUCACUGCAUAGAUGAAUUCAUUGGAGGGACAGAGUGGAAAGUAGAUCUUAGGAUUGGAAAUUGAUUUUUUUAAAUAUACAUUUUUUUGUUGACUAUGCAACUCUUAGUAAUGAAUAUACUUUAUUGAUAUUUGGAUAAAUAUAUGAAUUUGCUUUA
Arachis duranensis is the source of this 3011-nucleotide long non-coding RNA. RefSeq lists it as uncharacterized. The record is from RefSeq and is a predicted model, not a curated record. Lineage: Eukaryota; Viridiplantae; Streptophyta; Magnoliopsida; Fabales; Fabaceae. The transcript is spliced from 4 exons.